UACGUAGGGUGCGAGCGUUGUCCGGAAUUACUGGGCGUAAAGAGCUUGUAGGUGGUUUGUCGCGUUGUUCGUGAAAACUCACAGCUCAACUGUGGGCGUGCGGGCGAUACGGGCAGACUAGAGUACUGCAGGGGAGACUGGAAUUCCUGGUGUAGCGGUGGAAUGCGCAGAUAUCAGGAGGAACACCGGUGGCGAAGGCGGGUCUCUGGGCCGAUACUGACGCUGAGGAGCGAAAGCGUGGGGAGCGAACAGG
This 253-nucleotide ribosomal RNA is filed under the name uncultured bacterium. Its description in RNAcentral is "partial 16S ribosomal RNA". It matches the Rfam family "Bacterial small subunit ribosomal RNA", at positions 524 to 776 of the family's 1533-position model. The record is from RNAcentral.